CAGUAGCCGCGGGAAUACGGAGGGGGCUAGCGUUGUUCGGAAUUACUGGGCGUAAAGCGCACGUAGGCGGCUUGGUAAGUUAGAGGUGAAAGCCUGGAGCUCAACUCCAGAAUUGCCUUUAAGACUGCCGAGCUAGCAGGUGAGAGAGGUAAGUGGAAUUCCGAGUGUAGAGGUGAAAUUCGUAGAUAUUCGGAAGAACACCAGUGGCGAAGGCGGCUUACUGGCUCAUACUGGACGCUGAGGUGCGAAAGCGUGGGGAGCAAACAGGAUUAGAUACCCGAGUAGUCCCUGUCUCUUAUAC
This 301-nucleotide ribosomal RNA is filed under the name uncultured bacterium. Its description in RNAcentral is "partial 16S ribosomal RNA". It matches the Rfam family "Bacterial small subunit ribosomal RNA", at positions 509 to 807 of the family's 1533-position model. The record is from RNAcentral.